This 2903-nucleotide ribosomal RNA is filed under the name Escherichia coli. Its description in RNAcentral is "bacterial LSU rRNA". It matches the Rfam family "Bacterial large subunit ribosomal RNA". Lineage: Bacteria; Pseudomonadati; Pseudomonadota; Gammaproteobacteria; Enterobacterales; Enterobacteriaceae. The record is from RNAcentral.
UUAAGCGACUAAGCGUACACGGUGGAUGCCCUGGCAGUCAGAGGCGAUGAAGGACGUGCUAAUCUGCGAUAAGCGUCGGUAAGGUGAUAUGAACCGUUAUAACCGGCGAUUUCCGAAUGGGGAAACCCAGUGUGAUUCGUCACACUAUCAUUAACUGAAUCCAUAGGUUAAUGAGGCGAACCGGGGGAACUGAAACAUCUAAGUACCCCGAGGAAAAGAAAUCAACCGAGAUUCCCCCAGUAGCGGCGAGCGAACGGGGAGCAGCCCAGAGCCUGAAUCAGUGUGUGUGUUAGUGGAAGCGUCUGGAAAGGCGCGCGAUACAGGGUGACAGCCCCGUACACAAAAAUGCACAUACUGUGAGCUCGAUGAGUAGGGCGGGACACGUGGUAUCCUGUCUGAAUAUGGGGGGACCAUCCUCCAAGGCUAAAUACUCCUGACUGACCGAUAGUGAACCAGUACCGUGAGGGAAAGGCGAAAAGAACCCCGGCGAGGGGAGUGAAAAAGAACCUGAAACCGUGUACGUACAAGCAGUGGGAGCACAGAGCAAUCUGUGUGACUGCGUACCUUUUGUAUAAUGGGUCAGCGACUUAUAUUCUGUAGCAAGGUUAACCGAAUAGGGGAGCCGAAGGGAAACCGAGUCUUAACUGGGCGUUAAGUUGCAGGGUAUAGACCCGAAACCCGGUGAUCUAGCCAUGGGCAGGUUGAAGGUUGGGUAACACUAACUGGAGGACCGAACCGACUAAUGUUGAAAAAUUAGCGGAUGACUUGUGGCUGGGGGUGAAAGGCCAAUCAAACCGGGAGAUAGCUGGUUCUCCCCGAAAGCUAUUUAGGUAGCGCCUCGUGAAUUCAUCUCCGGGGGUAGAGCACUGUUUCGGCAAGGGGGUCAUCCCGACUUACCAACCCGAUGCAAACUGCGAAUACCGGAGAAUGUUAUCACGGGAGACACACGGCGGGUGCUAACGUCCGUCGUGAAGAGGGAAACAACCCAGACCGCCAGCUAAGGUCCCAAAGUCAUGGUUAAGUGGGAAACGAUGUGGGAAGGCCCAGACAGCCAGGAUGUUGGCUUAGAAGCAGCCAUCAUUUAAAGAAAGCGUAAUAGCUCACUGGUCGAGUCGGCCUGCGCGGAAGAUGUAACGGGGCUAAACCAUGCACCGAAGCUGCGGCAGCGACACUAUGUGUUGUUGGGUAGGGGAGCGUUCUGUAAGCCUGUGAAGGUGUACUGUGAGGUAUGCUGGAGGUAUCAGAAGUGCGAAUGCUGACAUAAGUAACGAUAAAGCGGGUGAAAAGCCCGCUCGCCGGAAGACCAAGGGUUCCUGUCCAACGUUAAUCGGGGCAGGGUGAGUCGACCCCUAAGGCGAGGCCGAAAGGCGUAGUCGAUGGGAAACAGGUUAAUAUUCCUGUACUUGGUGUUACUGCGAAGGGGGGACGGAGAAGGCUAUGUUGGCCGGGCGACGGUUGUCCCGGUUUAAGCGUGUAGGCUGGUUUUCCAGGCAAAUCCGGAAAAUCAAGGCUGAGGCGUGAUGACGAGGCACUACGGUGCUGAAGCAACAAAUGCCCUGCUUCCAGGAAAAGCCUCUAAGCAUCAGGUAACAUCAAAUCGUACCCCAAACCGACACAGGUGGUCAGGUAGAGAAUACCAAGGCGCUUGAGAGAACUCGGGUGAAGGAACUAGGCAAAAUGGUGCCGUAACUUCGGGAGAAGGCACGCUGAUAUGUAGGUGAAGUCCCUCGCGGAUGGAGCUGAAAUCAGUCGAAGAUACCAGCUGGCUGCAACUGUUUAUUAAAAACACAGCACUGUGCAAACACGAAAGUGGACGUAUACGGUGUGACGCCUGCCCGGUGCCGGAAGGUUAAUUGAUGGGGUCAGCGCAAGCGAAGCUCUUGAUCGAAGCCCCGGUAAACGGCGGCCGUAACUAUAACGGUCCUAAGGUAGCGAAAUUCCUUGUCGGGUAAGUUCCGACCUGCACGAAUGGCGUAAUGAUGGCCAGGCUGUCUCCACCCGAGACUCAGUGAAAUUGAACUCGCUGUGAAGAUGCAGUGUACCCGCGGCAAGACGGAAAGACCCCGUGAACCUUUACUAUAGCUUGACACUGAACAUUGAGCCUUGAUGUGUAGGAUAGGUGGGAGGCUUGGAAGUGUGGACGCCAGUCUGCAUGGAGCCGACCUUGAAAUACCACCCUUUAAUGUUUGAUGUUCUAACGUUGACCCGUAAUCCGGGUUGCGGACAGUGUCUGGUGGGUAGUUUGACUGGGGCGGUCUCCUCCUAAAGAGUAACGGAGGAGCACGAAGGUUGGCUAAUCCUGGUCGGACAUCAGGAGGUUAGUGCAAUGGCAUAAGCCAGCUUGACUGCGAGCGUGACGGCGCGAGCAGGUGCGAAAGCAGGUCAUAGUGAUCCGGUGGUUCUGAAUGGAAGGGCCAUCGCUCAACGGAUAAAAGGUACUCCGGGGAUAACAGGCUGAUACCGCCCAAGAGUUCAUAUCGACGGCGGUGUUUGGCACCUCGAUGUCGGCUCAUCACAUCCUGGGGCUGAAGUAGGUCCCAAGGGUAUGGCUGUUCGCCAUUUAAAGUGGUACGCGAGCUGGGUUUAGAACGUCGUGAGACAGUUCGGUCCCUAUCUGCCGUGGGCGCUGGAGAACUGAGGGGGGCUGCUCCUAGUACGAGAGGACCGGAGUGGACGCAUCACUGGUGUUCGGGUUGUCAUGCCAAUGGCACUGCCCGGUAGCUAAAUGCGGAAGAGAUAAGUGCUGAAAGCAUCUAAGCACGAAACUUGCCCCGAGAUGAGUUCUCCCUGACUCCUUGAGAGUCCUGAAGGAACGUUGAAGACGACGACGUUGAUAGGCCGGGUGUGUAAGCGCAGCGAUGCGUUGAGCUAACCGGUACUAAUGAACCGUGAGGCUUAACCUU